GACGAACGCUGGCGGCGCGCCUAACACAUGCAAGUCGAACGAGCGAGAGAGAGCUUGCUUUCUCGAGCGAGUGGCGAACGGGUGAGUAACGCGUGAGGAACCUGCCUCAAAGAGGGGGACAACAGUUGGAAACGACUGCUAAUACCGCAUAAGCCCACGGUGCCGCAUGGCACAGAGGGAAAAGGAGCAAUCCGCUUUGAGAUGGCCUCGCGUCCGAUUAGCUAGUUGGUGAGGUAAUGGCCCACCAAGGCGACGAUCGGUAGCCGGACUGAGAGGUUGAACGGCCACAUUGGGACUGAGACACGGCCCAGACUCCUACGGGAGGCAGCAGUGGGGAAUAUUGCACAAUGGGGGAAACCCUGAUGCAGCGACGCCGCGUGGAGGAAGAAGGUCUUCGGAUUGUAAACCCCUGUUGUUGGGGAAGAUAAUGACGGUACCCAACAAGGAAGUGACGGCUAACUACGUG
This 466-nucleotide ribosomal RNA is filed under the name uncultured bacterium. RNAcentral describes it as "partial 16S ribosomal RNA". It matches the Rfam family "Bacterial small subunit ribosomal RNA", at positions 28 to 507 of the family's 1533-position model. The record is from RNAcentral.